UAAUGGUGUAAUAUUCCCAACAUAUCGU
Molecule: small RNA, 28 nt
Filed under: Bombyx mori (domestic silkworm)
Lineage: Eukaryota; Metazoa; Arthropoda; Insecta; Lepidoptera; Bombycidae
Description: ovarian small RNA-5863
Source: RNAcentral